AUUGAACGCUGGCGGCAGGCCUAACACAUGCAAGUCGAGCGGAUGAAGGGAGCUUGCUCCUGGAUUCAGCGGCGGACGGGUGAGUAAUGCCUAGGAAUCUGCCUGGUAGUGGGGGAUAACGUCCGGAAACGGGCGCUAAUACCGCAUACGUCCUGAGGGAGAAAGUGGGGGAUCUUCGGACCUCACGCUAUCAGAUGAGCCUAGGUCGGAUUAGCUAGUUGGUGGGGUAAAGGCCUACCAAGGCGACGAUCCGUAACUGGUCUGAGAGGAUGAUCAGUCACACUGGAACUGAGACACGGUCCAGACUCCUACGGGAGGCAGCAGUGGGGAAUAUUGGACAAUGGGCGAAAGCCUGAUACAGCAAUGCCGCGUGUGUGAAGAAGGUCUUCGGAUUGUAAAGCACUUUAAGUUGGGAGGAAGGGCAGUAAGUUAAUACCUUGCUGUUUUGACGUUACCAACAGAAUAAGCACCGGCUAACUUCGUG
Molecule: ribosomal RNA, 484 nt
Filed under: uncultured bacterium
Lineage: Bacteria
Description: partial 16S ribosomal RNA
Rfam family: Bacterial small subunit ribosomal RNA
Source: RNAcentral